UACAGAGGGUGCAAGCGUUAAUCGGAAUUACUGGGCGUAAAGCGUGCGCAGGCGGCGCGUUAAGACAGGUGUGAAAGCCCCGAGCUUAACUUGGGAAUUGCGCUUGUGACUGGCGUGCUGGAGUGUGGCAGAGGGAGGUGGAAUUCCACGUGUAGCAGUGAAAUGCGUAGAGAUGUGGAGGAACACCGAUGGCGGAGGCAGCCUCCUGGGCCAGCACUGACGCUCAUGCACGAAAGCGUGGGGAGCAAACAGG
This 253-nucleotide ribosomal RNA is filed under the name uncultured bacterium. RNAcentral describes it as "partial 16S ribosomal RNA". It matches the Rfam family "Bacterial small subunit ribosomal RNA", at positions 524 to 776 of the family's 1533-position model. The record is from RNAcentral.